UGAGUCUAUACCUAUUUAAUUCAAUAGUUAUAUAUUUAUCUAACCUAUUAGCUAAAUUAUAACAAUUUAUUUUAAAUUACGGUGUUUGGAUCUAACAAUGGAUUGCGGAAGUAAAUUAAAGUUAAAGUCCUUGAAAAUAGACUUGGAACCAUUCGUUCUAUUCGCUCACUCGUUUUACUUGUUGCAAUGCAAGACAAGUUACAAUGACAAUAUGGGUCGACAUGACAGCAAAGCAAAUCUAGAAGUAAUUGUCAACGAACGGUGCCAUAACUCGGCAACAAGCAGAUUUAUUAAUGGAAGCGUUCACACUAAUGACCGGAACUGUGUUUUUGAAAUAGGAUUAGAUUGUGGCUAUCUUUAAAACAAGGAACGGGGAAUCGGGG
Non-coding RNA from Paramuricea clavata, 383 nucleotides. Lineage: Eukaryota; Metazoa; Cnidaria; Anthozoa; Malacalcyonacea; Plexauridae. The record is from the annotation of a GenBank genome assembly.